CUAGGACUCUGUGGGGUGGAGUGGUGUGGCUGCAUCAGCUCAGGUUCCUUGAGAACGUGUCCACAAAACUGGAAUUCCAUGGUGGCCCUGUUGAGGAGCCCCGUCCCUGAGGAAUGACAGAGACCUCUUCAGGGAGCAGCAAAUUCCAGAAAAGCAGGGAAAUUGUUAAGUGGUGGAGCCAAGAUUUGUACGCGGGUCACCUGGUUCCUGAGCCUCUUCUCUCAACUGCUGUACUGCUCAGCCUCUGAUGACAGACAGAAAGAACAUGAGGCCUCAGGGAGUUCUGAAGGUAUCCUAACAUCUUAACAGUCUCUUUGCUGGAAAGAAAUCUUCAGUGGCUCCCAUUACCUACGGAUCCAGCCUGGCUUUUUAGUCCAGCAUUCAAGACCUGUCAAGCUCUUCUGCAUCCUCUCGUAUGCAUGUGAUAGACAGGCACUCCACCUAGCGAAGUACAACCAUCCCAAACUUAUUCCUAUUACUUUUCUUCCAUUCAUUCGUUCAUACAAUCAAUCAGUCAUCAUUGAGGAUUUAUUAGACGAUAGGUUCUGGAGACAAAAAGGUAGAUAAAUACGACGCAGUCUUUGCUUUUGAGGACUGUAUCCCAGAUACAUCUGACUGGUUGUUCCUGCUGAAACAUUUUUCCACCUCCAUGCUUUUGCAUACACUACUUUCUCCACCUGGAAGACCCUCUCUGCAUUUCUGAACAUGCACUUUUAUUAACUGUCCACAGCUGCAGUGAGGCCUUCUUCAUGAAGCCUCUCCCAGUUCUCCGCCUCACCCCACCAAGCUGGAACUGAUCGCAGCCUCCAAACUCCCACAGCAAUCCUUUGCCUCCUCUUCUGACGCUACUCUUUCUCUCUUGGAUGAAAGCCGUGUGUAUCCAUGUUGGUUCUCCACUUCUAGAACCUGUCGUUUUGGGGCUGCAGGACUUGGUGGAUUCACACUGGCAUCCCCUCAGGAAGCAGAUCCUGGUGAUGAUCCUGCACAGUUGACAUAAUUACCACCACCUUCCCAGGUGCCGAAAUUGAGACUGAGAGAAAAACAAUCAGCCCCCGAUUUUACAGCUACAGAAUGCUGGAGCUGGAGCCUAGCGUCCUGACCCCUCUACUGCACUUACAGAUUUCUCCGGAUCUUGACUACAAUCCAAAGCAAUCGUGCUGGAACUAAGGAGAGCUGUAGCCUCAUCCAUCAGACUGAAUCUUUUACUUUUCUUCUGGCUGUUUGCAUGUUAUAAACAAAGCUACGAGUUACUCUUUUUUUCCAAGGUGGCACACAGUAACUGUGGGGAGGGUCAGAUGCUUUUCUUGGAGUACUGAUUCCAAGGAAAUACCUUAAUCUCAUUGAGUCAAUUCAUUAGCAGCUUCUAAGACUUUAAUCAACUAACAUUUCUGUGCUAAGUCAAAACCAAACUAUUUAAAAAUUUUUAAAAAAACAAUUUCUAAUGAACCUGACUCCCACUUAGAGUACUUCAGCUGAGAAUCUUUUUUGGCCCCUCCCUAAUUGUCUAAUUAAUGCAAUAUUAAAUUGACACCAAGCAAAUGGGAGCUGAAUUGUGUGCUAACAGUUUGGGCAAACUGAGAAGAAGUGUAAUUUCUGUGCAUAAGCCAGAUGGGAGCAGAGAAGAGGAAGGGAUAUGUGCAUGCUAAUUUGCAGUUUGACAAACUCCUUUUGUAAAAAUAAACACUUUUGCAGAAGUCUAAGGAAAGCAAA
This is a long non-coding RNA of Homo sapiens (human), 1710 nucleotides long. NCBI's taxonomy places the organism in Eukaryota, Metazoa, Chordata, Mammalia, Primates, Hominidae. The record is from Ensembl.